AUUGAACGCUGGCGGCAGGCCUAACACAUGCAAGUCGAGCGGAUGAAGGGAGCUUGCUCCUGGAUUCAGCGGCGGACGGGUGAGUAAUGCCUAGGAAUCUGCCUGGUAGUGGGGGAUAACGUCCGGAAACGGGCGCUAAUACCGCAUACGUCCCGAGGGAGAAAGUGGGGGAUCUUCGGACCUCACGCUAUCAGAUGAGCCUAGGUCGGAUUAGCUAGUUGGUGGGGUAAAGGCCUACCAAGGCGACGAUCCGUAACUGGUCUGAGAGGAUGAUCAGUCACACGGGAACUGAGACACGGUCCAGACUCCUACGGGAGGCAGCAGUGGGGAAUAUUGGACAAUGGGCGAAAGCCUGAUCCAGCCAUGCCGCGUGUGUGAAGAAGGUCUUCGGAUUGUAAAGCACUUUAAGUUGGGAGGAAGGGCAGUAAGUUAAUACCUUGCUGUUUUGACGUUACCAACAGAAUAAGCACCGGCUAACUUCGUG
RNAcentral lists this ribosomal RNA (484 nucleotides) under uncultured bacterium. RNAcentral describes it as "partial 16S ribosomal RNA". It matches the Rfam family "Bacterial small subunit ribosomal RNA", at positions 30 to 507 of the family's 1533-position model. The record is from RNAcentral.